CCUACGGGUGGCAGCAGUGAGGAAUAUUGGUCAAUGGGCGAGAGCCUGAACCAGCCAAGUCGCGUGAGGGAAGACGGACCUACGGAUUGUAAACCUCUUUUGCCGGGGAGCAAAAGACGCCACGCGUCGCGUCACGAGAGUACCCGAAGAAAAAGCAUCGGAUAACUCCGUGCCAGCCGCCGCGGUAAUACGGAGGAUGCGAGGGUUAUCCGGAUUUAUGGGGUUUAAGGGGUGCGAAGGCGGAAGCGCAAGUCAGCGGUAAAAUUGAGAGGCUCAACCUCUUCCCGCCGUUGAAACUGGUUUUCUUGAGUGAGCGAGAAGUACGCGGAAUGCGUGGUGUAGCGGUGAAAUGCAUAGAUAUCACGCAGAACUCCGAUUGCGAAGGCAGCAUACCGGCGCUCAACUGACGCUCAUGCACGAAAGCGUGGGUAUCGAACAGGAUUAGAUACCCUGGUAGUC
Molecule: ribosomal RNA, 459 nt
Filed under: uncultured bacterium
Lineage: Bacteria
Description: partial 16S ribosomal RNA
Rfam family: Bacterial small subunit ribosomal RNA
Source: RNAcentral